UAGGGAAUCUUCGGCAAUGGGGGCAACCCUGCCCGAGCAACGCCGCGUGAGUGAAGAAGGUUUUCGGAUCGUAAAGCUCUGUUUUAAGAGAAGAACGUGUGUGAGAUUGGAAAGUUCACACAGUGACGGUAACUUACCAGAAAGGGACGGCUAACUACGUGCCAGCAGCCGCGGUAAUACGUAGGUCCCGAGCGUUGUCGGGAUUUUUUGGGCGUAAAGCGAGCGCAGGCGGUUUAAUAAGUCUGAAGUUAAAGGCAGUGGCUUAACCAUUGUUCGUUUUGGAAACUGUUAAACUUGAGUGCAGAAGGGGAGAGUGGAAUUCCAUGUGUAGCGGUGAAAUGCGUAGAUAUAUGGAGGAACACCGGUGGCGAAAGCGGCUCUCUGGUCUGUAACUGACGCUGAGGCUCGAAAGCGUGGGGAGCAAACAGG
RNAcentral lists this ribosomal RNA (429 nucleotides) under bacterium. Its description in RNAcentral is "partial 16S ribosomal RNA". It matches the Rfam family "Bacterial small subunit ribosomal RNA", at positions 355 to 776 of the family's 1533-position model. The record is from RNAcentral.